AUCAUCUGGGGCUCUUGCUAAAGUACAGAAUCUGAUUCAGUGGGACCCAGAUUCUGCAUUUCUACCAAGCUCCCAGGUGAUGUUGA
Molecule: microRNA precursor, 86 nt
Filed under: Equus asinus (donkey)
Lineage: Eukaryota; Metazoa; Chordata; Mammalia; Perissodactyla; Equidae
Also listed under: 1 other name
Description: mir-544 microRNA precursor family
Rfam family: mir-544 microRNA precursor family
Source: Rfam by way of RNAcentral